RNAcentral lists this unclassified non-coding RNA (308 nucleotides) under uncultured fungus. Its description in RNAcentral is "partial contains 5.8S ribosomal RNA, internal transcribed spacer 2, and large subunit ribosomal RNA". The stretch from base 1 to 52 matches the Rfam family "5.8S ribosomal RNA", at positions 103 to 154 of the family's 154-position model. The record is from RNAcentral. Lineage: Eukaryota; Fungi.
AACGCACCUUGCGCCCUUUGGUAUUCCGAAGGGCAUGCCUGUUUGAGUGUCAUUAAAUUCUCAACCUUACUUGCUUUUUUGCUUGUGAGGCUUGGAUGUGAGGGUUUGCUGGCUUCCUUUGGUGGAUGGUCUGCUCCCUUUAAAUGCAUUAGUGGGAUCCUUUGUGGACGGUCACUUGGUGUGAUAAUUAUCUACGCCGCUUGACUUUGAAGCAAGACUUGUGGGAACCUGCUCAUAACUGUCUCUUACCGAGACAAAUUACUUGACAAUUUGACCUCAAAUCAGGUAGGACUACCCGCUGAACUUAA